Molecule: transfer RNA, 74 nt
Filed under: Planctomycetota bacterium
Lineage: Bacteria; Pseudomonadati; Planctomycetota
Description: Planctomycetes bacterium tRNA-His
Rfam family: tRNA
About the family: Transfer RNA (tRNA) molecules are approximately 80 nucleotides in length. Their secondary structure includes four short double-helical elements and three loops (D, anti-codon, and T loops).
Source: RNAcentral
GUGUCUGUGGUGUAGCGGUUUCUGCACACUUGGCUGUGAACCAAGAGGUACCGGUUCGAGUCCGGUCAGAUACC